RNAcentral lists this non-coding RNA (104 nucleotides) under Protocruzia adhaerens. Lineage: Eukaryota; Ciliophora; Spirotrichea. The record is from RNAcentral.
AAAAAAAAAAAAAAAAAAAAAAAAAAACAAAACCAAAAAAGCAGAAGAACAGCUCUUUGAUCAUUCCUCUUCAUCAUGAACUUCAAGUUCCUUCUCGUCAUUUU